GAUGAACGCUGGCGGCGUGCCUAAUACAUGCAAGUCGAGCGAACGGACGAGAAGCUUGCUUCUCUGAUGUUAGCGGCGGACGGGUGAGUAACACGUGGAUAACCUACCUAUAAGACUGGGAUAACUUCGGGAAACCGGAGCUAAUACCGGAUGAUAUUUUGAACCGCAUGGUUCAAAAGUGAAAGACGGUCUUGCUGUCACUUAUAGAUGGAUCCGCGCUGCAUUAGCUAGUUGGUAAGGUAACGGCUUACCAAGGCAACGAUGCAUAGCCGACCUGAGAGGGUGAUCGGCCACACUGGAACUGAGACACGGUCCAGACUCCUACGGGAGGCAGCAGUAGGGAAUCUUCCGCCAUGGGCGAAAGCCUGACGGAGCAACGUCGCGUGAGUGAUGAAGGUCUUCGGAUCGUAAAACUCUGUUAUUAGGGAAGAACAUAUGUGUACGUAACUGUGCACAUCUUGACGGUACCUAAUCAGAAAGCCAGGGCUAACUACGUG
Molecule: ribosomal RNA, 497 nt
Filed under: uncultured bacterium
Lineage: Bacteria
Description: partial 16S ribosomal RNA
Rfam family: Bacterial small subunit ribosomal RNA
Source: RNAcentral